GCUCAGAAGGAACGCUGGCAGCGUGCAUAACACAUGCAAGUCGAACGAUGAAGCAUUCUUCGGAAUGUGGAAGAGUGGCGAACGGGUGAGGAACACGUAAGAAUCUGCCCCUCGGUCGGGGACAACUUUUGGAAACGAAAGCUAAUACCCGAUACGCUGUGGAGUGAAAGAAUUUCGCCGAGGGAUGAUCUUGCGUCUGAUUAGCUAGUUGGUGCGAUAAUGGCGCACCAAGGCGACGAUCAGUAGCUGGUCUGAGAGGAUGAACAGCCACAUUGGAACUGAGACACGGUCCAAACUCCUACGGGAGGCAGCAGUGGGGAAUUUUCCGCAAUGGACGAAAGUCUGACGGAGCGACGCUGCGUGAAGGAUGACGGCCUGCGGGUUGUAAACUUCUUUUCUCGAAGAAGAAGCUCUGACGGUAUUCGAGGAAUAAGCAUCGGCUAACUCCGUGCCAGCAGCCGCGGUAAGACGGAGGAUGCAAGUGUUAUUCGGAAUGAUUGGGCGUAAAGCGUCUGUAGGCUGUAUAGAAAGUCUUUUGUUAAAUGCCUCGGCUCAACCGAGAUCCAGCAAAGGAAACUUCUAUACUUGAGGUAAGUAGAGGUACAGGGAAUUCCCGGUGGAGCGGUGAAAUGCGUAGAUAUCGGGAGGAACACCAAUAUGGCGAAGGCACUGUACUGGGCUUUACCUGACGCUCAGAGACGAAAGCUAAAGGAGUGAUUAGGAUUAGAUACCCUAGUAAUUUUAGCCGUAAACGAUGAAAACUCACUGCCGAGCGAAAUACAACGAGCGGUGGUCAAGCUAACGCGUGAAGUUUUCCGCCUGGGGAUUAC
This 830-nucleotide ribosomal RNA is filed under the name marine metagenome. RNAcentral's name for it is "bacterial SSU rRNA". It matches the Rfam family "Bacterial small subunit ribosomal RNA", at positions 22 to 883 of the family's 1533-position model. The record is from RNAcentral.